ACGGAGCAGAGUUUACCGGCCCGAAAUGCUUUUCCGCUGCUCGCUUCCCCCCCAAGUACCUGCAAGCCCUUCAGCGUGGCUCCCUCUGUCCUCCACGAGCCCGGCUCCCGCUCGCCUCCACCCCAGCCUCGUGGAAAGCUCGGGACCACACCCGCGCCUUUGAAUGUCUUCAUUCUGUGCAUUUCCCGCAGAGGGAUCAGCCACCUUUCCUUGCUGGUUCAGAGGACAGGGCAGACAUGGGAACACGCACACGCUCUCAUCGGGGCUUUGAAGACCCACGACACCUGAAUCCCCCACCUCCCCUCUCAGGGCCAGGCUCAGCUGGCCAUCUGGAAAGGCCAUCAGAAUGGGGCUUUAUCGUUCCCCUCCCGAAACUGUUUGAAGAGUUCAUAGCCUACAAUCCCUCCUUGGAACCGGGCAUUAUUCUCUUGAUUACACAAGCCUGACAGCCUGAUCAUAAUAAACAUGUAACUGAAGAGAACCUAUUCCUUUCC
Molecule: long non-coding RNA, 494 nt
Filed under: Felis catus (domestic cat)
Lineage: Eukaryota; Metazoa; Chordata; Mammalia; Carnivora; Felidae
Description: lncRNA (ENSFCAG00000050061.1)
Source: RNAcentral